GAAAUUCCUCGGGAUAUUCCGAGGAUUUCAUUUUCCGUCGGAAUGUCCGUCAGAAUACCGUUGUUUUCUUGUAGUGUUCAUUUGUGUUUCAGACUUUUAUUUAGUAAGUGUUACUAUAGUAUUCUAUUUUUUAUUUGUGAUUGUGGAGAUUUAAGUUUAGAUUAUGUGUCUUACUCUAGUUUUUUUUAGUUUAGUUAUUUUCUGAUUUUUAAUAGUAAAAUAAAUAAUAAUUUGUAAAUAAAAUAAUAGAAAAUUAAUAAAAAAUAAUAAAAUAGUAAAAAUUUAUGUUUUUUUUAGUUGUGAAUAAAUAAAAUAUUUAAAAUCUAUUUUUAAUUUUUUUAUUUUUUCUUUAUUCAUCUCUAAUUUUAUUGACUAAUAAAAUAUAUUAUAAAACUUCACAUAAUAAUGGUUAGUGUGAAAAAAAUAAUAGUGCAUAAUUAGAAAGUACAAAACCAAAUUGCAAUAGUGUAAAAGAAGAAGGACCUAAAAUGUAAAAACAAAAAUACAUGUGGACACAUGUCAUCAAACCUCCUUGCCACUUGUCAUAAGAAGAAAAAAAACUAACUUUAUAUAUAUAGAUAUAGAAAUAAAUUAUAAAAUCAUUCAAUAUUAUUUUUUCAUUUAUAUAAAAUUAAGAAUGUUACUUGAUUAAUAUUUAUUUAUAUGUUUUCUGUUUUUUUCUUAUUUUUAACUUCUUAUUACAAGAUUUUUCAGAUAACAACAUAAUAUAUAUAGGAAUUAUCUUUUUAUUUUAAAAUGUAUUUUUAGAUUCUUGAUAAUUCUUAUUAUUAUUAUUAAUUUUAAUCACUAAUCGAAUAAAAAAUUACAUUUCGUUUUUAUUUUAUGGGUAUUAUACAUAUAUAUAUAUAUCUAUUCUAUUAAAAGUGAAGUACAUUUUCUACUUAACCCCGAAUUUUUUCCAAUAAUUACCAGCUUAUUCCACUGUUAUUAAACAUAUUCGUUUUAUACAUUUGCUAACCUAUUAUUUCGCUAAACUAUACCAUUAAGGACAUUUGUGUAAACCUACCAUUAAUCACAGCCAAGCCGGAUAUUGAAAUCGUCGUUGACCUUCUCAAUUUGUUGAAGCUCGAAAAGUCCGCCGUCGAGAAGCCGUUCAAUUCAACCAACAACAGCUCCGGAAACGGUUAUUUUAACCGCGAGGCUUUCCGGCGGAUUUGGAAUAUUCAGACGUGGAUCUCAUGUACGAGCUCCUCCACCGCCUUAAAUGUGUACAAAACCUGGAUAAACGCCUCAUAUUCAGAAACUAUGUGGUGGAUCUUAAAGUCCAAAUGUUACACUUUUGCUUGGGCAACAGGUGUUAGGAGAGGUAGCUCUGAUCUUCUGUGAGUUGAUGGUAGACCCUUUUACUUCUUAUGCCCUUUGGAAGGUUAUGCAAAAGUCUAGCUCUAAACAGAUCACUCGAAUGAUUACAAUAAUCUAUACUUAUUUUUGAAUGUUUUUUUGCAACUUGCUUUCAUUAUUUUUUUAUGUUUCUAUCUAAAUAAUAUAUUUGUUUAAAAAAAUCUCAUUAUAAAAUUUGAACUUUAUAUUCAA
Molecule: long non-coding RNA, 1554 nt
Organism: Brassica napus (rape)
Lineage: Eukaryota; Viridiplantae; Streptophyta; Magnoliopsida; Brassicales; Brassicaceae
Exons: 2
Source: RefSeq, a predicted model, not a curated record